GGCGACGUACCCAAGCGGCUAAGGGAGCGGUCUGCAAAACCGCCAUGCGCCGGUUCGAAUCCGGCCGUCGCCU
RNAcentral lists this transfer RNA (73 nucleotides) under Thermodesulfovibrio aggregans. RNAcentral's name for it is "tRNA-Cys". It matches the Rfam family "tRNA". Rfam says of the family: Transfer RNA (tRNA) molecules are approximately 80 nucleotides in length. Their secondary structure includes four short double-helical elements and three loops (D, anti-codon, and T loops). Lineage: Bacteria; Pseudomonadati; Nitrospirota; Thermodesulfovibrionia; Thermodesulfovibrionales; Thermodesulfovibrionaceae. RNAcentral also lists the same sequence under 6 other names. The record is from RNAcentral.